GCUGGUCCUGCCCGUGCAGCGAAGCUAAUCGUGGUUCCUCUUCAGUUUAGGCACAAGCGCUACCUUGCCUUGGCCGUCGCAAUGAUUUCCUGUAUUGAAUACCUACUAAAUGGAAUUCGAUCGACAAUUACCGAACGAUCGCCUAAGGCCGCCCACGCUGGCGGCUGCGAGUGAUACCUAAAGCAAGAUUUGUGAUCCUCGAUCCGCUCGUCUUCGGCGUAGCUAUCGAGGCCCAUGUUUCUGUGCUCGUGCUGAGGGAUUCAGAAAAUGCGGUUGGCAAGGUCUUUGACCCUCUUUCGCCACAUGUAUUGACAACAUCCAAACGACUGUCGAUGGUGCGAUGGCCUUGCGGCCGAGCGCCUCGAUGUCCGUGAGGAAUGCUACCU
This 386-nucleotide unclassified non-coding RNA is filed under the name Galium paniculatum. RNAcentral describes it as "partial external transcribed spacer". Lineage: Eukaryota; Viridiplantae; Streptophyta; Magnoliopsida; Gentianales; Rubiaceae. The record is from RNAcentral.